ACCCUUGUGGAGGAGGACGCCGAAGGUGGGGCUAAUGACUGGGGUGAAGUCGUAACAAGGUAGCCGUACCGGAAGGUGCGGCUGGAUCACCUCCUAACAGGGAGACAACAAAAUGUUUAAUAUUAUUUUGUCACCUUAGGUCGAUCGGUAUCUCACGUUCUUAAUUUAUUAAGAAUUUCAUUUCCUAAGUUUUUCUAGGUCACACCCAUUAUUUUUCCUGGGCCAUUAGCUCAGGUGGUUAGAGCGCACCCCUGAUAAGGGUGAGGUCCCUGGUUCAAGUCCAGGAUGGCCCAUAUCUCUAUGUUGGGGGUAUAGCUCAGUUGGUAGAGCGCCUGCUUUGCAAGCAGGAUGUCAGCGGUUCGAGUCCGCUUACCUCCACUGAUUACCACCUCUUCCAUAAACCGGUAAUAAAGGAAAUGUUUUGAGUUGUGAUCAAAUUCUGAAAGAAUCUAGCUUCCUAAUGAAAUCAUUAAGAUGCUGGACUCAUUGAAUUAAUUUCAUUGUUUUCAGAGAACCUUGACAACUGCAUAGAUUAUUUUUAAAGACAAUAAGCAUCUUUAAUGAUGCAGAUUUAUUAUUUGUGCGAAUGCAUUAAUAACAAUUCUAUUAAGCUGAUGCUUCAAUUUUUGAAGUUAUUGGUCAAGCUACAAAGGGCUCACGGAGGAUACCUAGGCACACAGAGGCGAU
This 687-nucleotide unclassified non-coding RNA is filed under the name uncultured Prochlorococcus sp. RNAcentral's name for it is "partial may contain 16S ribosomal RNA, 16S-23S ribosomal RNA intergenic spacer, and 23S ribosomal RNA". The stretch from base 1 to 97 matches the Rfam family "Bacterial small subunit ribosomal RNA", at positions 1437 to 1533 of the family's 1533-position model. Lineage: Bacteria; Bacillati; Cyanobacteriota; Cyanophyceae; Synechococcales; Prochlorococcaceae. The record is from RNAcentral.